Molecule: ribosomal RNA, 253 nt
Filed under: uncultured bacterium
Lineage: Bacteria
Description: partial 16S ribosomal RNA
Rfam family: Bacterial small subunit ribosomal RNA
Source: RNAcentral
UACAGAGGGUGCGAGCGUUGUUCGGAAUUAUUGGGCGUAAAGCGCGUGUAGGCGGCUUUGCAAGUCGGAUGUGAAAGCCCUGGGCUCAACCUAGGAAGUGCAUUCGAAACUUCCAAGCUGGAGUGCUGGAGAGGAAGGCGGAAUUCUCGGUGUAGAGGUGAAAUUCGUAGAUAUCGAGAGGAACACCGGUGGCGAAGGCGGCCUUCUGGACAGUCACUGACGCUGAGACGCGAAAGCGUGGGGAGCAAACAGG